UCACAACAUAGAAAUGAUGUAAUGCAGUCGCUCACUUUACGAUCUCAAUGUCGUUUUCUUUUUAGAUUUCAAAGUUAAAUAGAACAGUUUUAACAGAAACAUUUGUACGGUUAUACAAAGGGAAACCUCUUCAUAAUUCAUAAUUCAUUGAUGACAGAGGAGCCACAUGUGGUUUAUCAGUGGUGCCAUCUUCUGGCCAAUCUCAGUCAUGUUAUUUGGUAUAAAACUGUCACUCUGAUUACACAAAGCCUUUCAUGUUGAGAUCAGUGUCUAACCCGAGGAACCCUUCACUUUUAACCUGGCAUGCAGCGCUGCUCAGGUAUCAGAUAUCUGCACUCACUACCUCUGGCUUUAGUUUUCACUCGUGUACCAUCAGCCACUCCCCCAAAAAAGAAUCUCCCGGGUGCAGGAGAGUGUUGAGGUCAGAGAUGCUGAAGGCGUGUGUGCGUGCACGUGUAUAUACAGAGAGCCGUGGGGUCAGGCGUGUAAGACGAGAGCUUUGCAGCGAUGACAGUGUGAUGGUUACGACUCUCCUGUGUGAUGGACGUGAUGUACAGCCUUCCCUGGUGCUGACCUCUGUCCUGUCCUGUUUUCCAUCGAGCACACCCUGGAUCGACUUCACUGCUGCUUCCGUUCAUCUCCUGUCCUGCCCAGAACUCACUCUGGGUCACUGAUGCUCCUCCCGGGUAUCUGGACUCAUGCUGGCCUGCUUCCCUCUCCACAGCCUUGCCUAUAACUUAUUGUUCCGCUGCUCCUGCCUCAGGCUCCGCUGCUGCGUCCGCUCCCUAAAACCAGAACCAGAUAAGUUGAUGAAUUAGUUGUGCACUUUGGUUCUCGGUCCCAUAAAAAGAGGGGUUGUUAUAGAAAGUGGGAAGAAAUCCUUACGUGUGUUAUAUGUAAGAAAGUAAUAAUAUUAAGUCAGAGAUUGUGAAAACAUGGCUUUAAUGAUAGUGGUGAUGAACCAGAGCAGUACCUGUUCAAAUGUGAGUUUUAGGAGGUGGGAGUGGCUCUUUUCACGAUAAAUCUCUUGCAUUUCUAACAAUAUCUCUUGUAUUUUUUUAUCCAAACACCACCAAAGUUGAUGCUGCACACAUUGGUGUCCUUAAUAAGUUUUAAACCUGUCAAGUGAGCCAAAACAGUCAGAUAGUCAGAUGCUUGAACUUCAACACUGGGAUGCCAACAGGCUUAGUCUGCAAACACACCAGGCUACAGCUAUGUGUCGGAAAGGCUGAACAUUACCAAUUAUAGCCAAAACUAAAGAGCCUCACUACCUCUCUCAAAAACAUCUCCACUGCAGUCAAGAUAGUGUGUUUUAAUGGCUGAAAGAGAGGCUGUUAAAGUCAGCCACAGUUAGCUAAUACACUCUCUCUCUAACAUACACCAUGUUGGUGGAUUUAAUUUAAUGUAUAUAAUGUUUUUACAACCCAAUAUUUUCACUUUCUGUCACUUUCUGAGUGUUCAUUCUCUGUUGCUGCUCACAGCAGACACACUUUCAGCUUCAGUCUCUGAGAUGUAAAUAUUAAUAGAAAAGGUACGGAACAUAGCACAUUACAGAUAGCGGUGAGAUUAUAUAAGUGUAAGUGCAUGACAGCAGAGUACGCCAGGUAUAAGUGCAGCUCCUUGUUUCUGUGUUAUGGAAACAUGGGGAACCAAAAACCUAUGUUUAUAACUGUGACUGCUUUUAACUGCUCACAUGUACGUAAACAUUACAUAUCUCCAUCCCCUGUAAGUUUAUUUCUUUAUCAGAUAGAUGUGUAAUUAUUAUACAAUCUUUAUAGUGACAACACAACCGUAUACAUUUUCAUUUAACCCGACAUGAGAAUGAAAAGGUUGUUGAUAAUUUGAUAUCACAAGUCUUGAGAUGAGAUUCACCCUGUCUUUUAUUGUAAAUUUUAUUGUAAAUUUCGUAAGCACUCACACUGCGUUUGGGUGGAAACAAAUAAUAAAUCCCCAAAAAUGUAUCGAUGAUUUAAUAAAGUGGACAAUAUUCAACAUGAGCAGUAAAUUAUACUUUCAGAAAGGUAUGACCCAACUCUGGCUUUCUCAGUACAAACCCCUGGUGUGUGUCUGUUCACAGCUCAGAUCUUCCGUUUACUGGUCCCGGCUGGUGUUUCCUCAGCGGCAUCAUUUAAAAGCAGGAAGGAUGGAGGCCUUCCUCCACUUUUGGGACCUUCUUUUCUCUCUGUUCCUGGCGUCUUUGUACUCCUGCUCUAAAUCACGGCAGUGGAACCUGCAGGGGGCAGAGGGGAACAUAAAGUAUGCAACUCUGACAUGCAUGAAAGACUGUGACAGUGCUCCUCAGAGCAGCAGGGCUUUUUAGGAGCUGAGGAAGGACAGAUGCAAAUGAGAUGAAAGAUGGAUGGAUACCCUGAACUAAUGUCCGCCCCCUCUGAGACGCACACGUGCAGGGAGCCUGUUUACUCGUCUUCCUUUUAAAUAAUCCCCUAACUAUAUAUAUCUAGAGUUUCACCAAAGAUAUAUGACACUUUAAGGUCAGAAAGGUUCAUGUAAUUAUUUCAAAUUUGAAUGGAUAGUGUUUGUUUUCAAAAGCCAAACUACAAUUCAAACAUACAGCAAAUGUUAUUAUAGAUAAUGUAUCUGAAAUAAUCUGAAUAUUUGUGAGAAGCCUCCUCAUCUGUUUCCCCCUGGUGCGCGAGCGAAACAGUGAAAGUUAUAAGAAAAUGCUGUUUGCCACAGGUCUGGUUUGAAUUACCCCACCACCACUACCUCUUCCUUGAAUUCCUUGAGUGUUAUCAUGACUGCCUCACUGCUUUUUGUUUUUAAAGGUUGAUGAGUGCAUUUUCACUUGCUGCUUCCUUUCAGCAGAUACUUAAAAGUCUCAGCGAAGACCAGGCAAUCAGUUAGGAAAGGAGCUGUGUGUAUGUGUGUUCUUGUAUGGGUCCCUUUGUGAGGACCAAA
This is a long non-coding RNA of Solea senegalensis (Senegalese sole), 2919 nucleotides long. RefSeq lists it as uncharacterized. Lineage: Eukaryota; Metazoa; Chordata; Actinopteri; Pleuronectiformes; Soleidae. The record is from RefSeq and is a predicted model, not a curated record. The transcript is spliced from 3 exons.